GGGGGCAACCCUGAUCCAGCCAUUCCGCGUGAGUGAAGAAGGCCUUCGGGUUGUAAAGCUCUUUCAGCAGGAACGAAACGGUGGUCUCUAAUACGGACUACUAAUGACGGUACCUGAAGAAGAAGCACCGGCUAACUACGUGCCAGCAGCCGCGGUAAUACGUAGGGUGCGAGCGUUAAUCGGAAUUACUGGGCGUAAAGCGUGCGCAGGCGGUUAUAUAAGACAGAUGUGAAAUCCCCGGGCUCAACCUGGGAACUGCGUUUGUGACUGUAUAACUUGAGUGUGGCAGAGGGGGGUGGAAUUCCACGUGUAGCAGUGAAAUGCGUAGAGAUGUGGAGGAACACCGAUGGCGAAGGCAGCCCCCUGGGUCAACACUGACGCUCAUGCACGAAAGCGUGGGGAGCAAACAGGAUUAGAUACCCUGGUAGUCCACGCCCUAAACGAUGCGAACUAGGUGUUGGGGAAGGAGACUUUCUUAGUACCGCAGCUAACGCGUGAAGUUCGCCGCCUGGGGAGUACGGUCGCAAGAUUAAAACUCAAAGGAAUUGACGGGGACCCGCACAAGCGGNGGAUUAUGUGGAUUAAUUCGAUGCAACGCGAAAAACCUUACCUACCCUUGACAUGUGCCGGACCCGCGAAGC
This 641-nucleotide ribosomal RNA is filed under the name uncultured soil bacterium. Its description in RNAcentral is "bacterial SSU rRNA". It matches the Rfam family "Bacterial small subunit ribosomal RNA", at positions 373 to 1008 of the family's 1533-position model. The record is from RNAcentral.